RNAcentral lists this ribosomal RNA (412 nucleotides) under uncultured bacterium. Its description in RNAcentral is "bacterial SSU rRNA". It matches the Rfam family "Bacterial small subunit ribosomal RNA", at positions 8 to 422 of the family's 1533-position model. The record is from RNAcentral.
AGAGUUUGAUCCUGGCUCAGAUUGAACGCUGGCGGCAUGCUUUACACAUGCAAGUCGAACGGCAGCACGGGGGCAACCCUGGUGGCGAGUGGCGAACGGGUGAGUAAUGUAUCGGAACAUGUCCGGAAGUGGGGGAUAACGUAGCGAAAGUUACGCUAAUACCGCAUAUGCCCUGAGGGGGAGAGGAGGGGAUCGCAAGACCUUUCGCUUUCGGAGUGGCCGAUAUCAGAUUAGCUAGUUGGUGAGGUAAAGGCUCACCAAGGCGACGAUCUGUAGCUGGUCUGAGAGGACGACCAGCCACACUGGGACUGAGACACGGCCCAGACUCCUACGGGAGGCAGCAGUGGGGAAUUUUGGACAAUGGGGGCAACCCUGAUCCAGCCAUGCCGCGUGAGUGAAGAAGGCCUUCGGG